UNCCAACUGAGCUACAUCCUACCUCCUA
This 28-nucleotide non-coding RNA is filed under the name Mus musculus (house mouse). Lineage: Eukaryota; Metazoa; Chordata; Mammalia; Rodentia; Muridae. The record is from RNAcentral.